CCUUUGUCCCCCUACUUAGCCCCCCUCUCCUGGUCUUACUUCCCAAUCAGUCCUUUCCAGAACAGGUCCGUACACACAGCUAGCGGUCCCGCUGUUGUGUGUGUGUGUAUCCCAAGGGGGAGUUUUACACAGGUGUGUGAGACACUACUGCGUCUUCGUCUAGCGAGGCCGUCCUUCCAAAUGUCACGGAAACCUGGGCUUCUGAGGCCGACUGGAUCUCAGUGUUAUUACAUGUCUGUCGGUAAUGACGCCACUGUCUGAACCAGUAAGGGGACGUUAACAGGGCUCGUACUCACAAAGCCUCUCAGAGUGGUCAGGCUGAUCUAUGAUCAGGUCCCCUCUUAUUCAUUAUGAUCUAGGAUCAGGUCCCCUCUUACUCAUUAUGAUCUAGGAUCAGGUCCCCUCUUAUUCAUUAUGAUCUAGGAUCAGGUCCCCUCUUAUUCAUUAUGAUCUAGGAUCAGGUCCCCUCUUAUUCAUUAUGAUCUAGGAUCAGGUCCCCUCUUAUUCAUUAUGAUCAGGUCCCCUCUUAUUCAUUAUGAUCUAGGAUCAGGUCCCCUCUUAUUCAUUAUGAUCAGGUCCCCUCUUAUUCAUUAUGAUCUAGGAUCAGGUCCCUUCUUAUUCAUUAUGAUCUAGGAUCAGGUCCCCUCUUAUUCAUUAUGAUCAGGUCCCCUCUUAUUCAUUAUGAUCUAGGAUCAGGUCCCCUCUUAUUCAUUAUGAUCAGGUCCCCUCUUAUUCAUUAUGAUCAGGUCCCCUCUUAUUCAUUAUGAUCUAGGAUCAGGUCCCCUCUUAUUCAUUAUGAUCUAGGAUCAGGUCCCCUCUUAUUCAUUAUGAUCUAGGAUCAGGUCCCCUCUUAUUCAUUAUGAUCUAGGAUCAGGUCCCCUCUUAUUCAUUAUGAUCUAGGAUCAGGUCCCCUCUUAUUCAUUAUGAUCUAGGAUCAGGUCCCCUCUUAUUCAUUAUGAUCAGGUCCCCUCUUAUUCAUUAUGAUCAGGUCCCCUCUUAUUCAUUAUGAUCUAGGAUCAGGUCCCCUCUUAUUCAUUAUGAUCUAGGAUCAGGUCCCCUCUUAUUCAUUAUGAUCAGGUCCCCUCUUAUUCAUUAUGAUCUAGGAUCAGGUCCCCUCUUAUUCAUUAUGAUCUAGGAUCAGGUCCCCUCUUAUUCAUUAUGAUCUAGGAUCAGGUCCCUUCUUACUCAUUAUGAUCUAGGAUCAGGUCCCCUCUUAUUCAUUAUGAUCUAGGAUCAGGUCCCGUCUUAUUCAUUAUGAUCUAGGAUCAGGUCCCGUCUUAUUCAUUAUGAUCUAGGAUCAGGUCCCCUCUUACUCAUUAUGAUCUAGGAUCAGGUCCCGUCUUAUUCAUUAUGAUCAGUAGUAGUGCUGUUCUAGGAUCAGGUCCCCUCUUAUUCAUUAUGAUCUAGGAUCAGGUCCCCUCUUACUCAUUAUGAUCUAGGAUCAGGUCCCGUCUUAUUCAUUAUGAUCAGUAGUAGUGCUGUUCUAGGAUCAGGUCCCCUCUUAUUCAUUAUGAUCAGUAGUAGUGCUGUUCUAGGAUCAGGUCCCCUCUUAUUCAUUAUGAUCAGUAGUAGUGCUGUUCUAGGAUCAGGUCCCCUCUUAUUCAUUAUGAUCAGUAGUAGUGCUGUUCUAGGAUCAGGUCCCCUCUUAUCCAUUAUAACCUAAAGCCAAAACUGAUGCUAGAUCAGCACUCCUGUUCUGAGAUGCUUUGUGAACACGGCCCUGAUAUCUUAGAGCUGUGAUGUGGUGGCCAACUCUUGUCCUGGGGAGGUACGCUCCUGCAGGGAUUUGUUCCGGUCUUUGUUUUUCUGCUAUCCUCUCGUUUUGAGAAAGUGUAAAUAAAUAAAUACCUUUUAUUUCA
Long non-coding RNA from Oncorhynchus nerka (sockeye salmon), 1859 nucleotides. RefSeq lists it as uncharacterized. The transcript has 2 exons. The record is from RefSeq and is a predicted model, not a curated record. Lineage: Eukaryota; Metazoa; Chordata; Actinopteri; Salmoniformes; Salmonidae.